This 253-nucleotide ribosomal RNA is filed under the name uncultured bacterium. Its description in RNAcentral is "partial 16S ribosomal RNA". It matches the Rfam family "Bacterial small subunit ribosomal RNA", at positions 524 to 776 of the family's 1533-position model. The record is from RNAcentral.
GACGAACCGUGCGAACGUUGUUCGGAAUCACUGGGCUUAAAGGGCGCGUAGGCGGGCUGCCAAGUCAGGGGUGAAAUCCUGCGGCUCAACCGUAGAAGUGCCUUUGAUACUGGUGGCCUUGAGGGAGGUAGGGGCGUGCGGAACUUCCGGUGGAGCGGUGAAAUGCGUAGAUAUCGGAAGGAACACCGGUGGCGAAAGCGGCGCGCUGGACCUCUUCUGACGCUGAGGCGCGAAAGCUAGGGGAGCAAACGGG